GCCGGAGUGGCGGAAUUGGCAGACGCGGUGGAUUCAAAAUCCACUGGUGGCAACACCUUGUGGGUUCGAGUCCCACCUCCGGUA
RNAcentral lists this transfer RNA (84 nucleotides) under Algisphaera agarilytica. It matches the Rfam family "tRNA". Rfam says of the family: Transfer RNA (tRNA) molecules are approximately 80 nucleotides in length. The record is from Rfam by way of RNAcentral. Lineage: Bacteria; Pseudomonadati; Planctomycetota; Phycisphaerae; Phycisphaerales; Phycisphaeraceae. RNAcentral also lists the same sequence under 1 other name.